Molecule: non-coding RNA, 24 nt
Filed under: Arabidopsis thaliana (thale cress)
Lineage: Eukaryota; Viridiplantae; Streptophyta; Magnoliopsida; Brassicales; Brassicaceae
Source: RNAcentral
CUCUACAUUUUGGGUGGUAUCCAA